Gasterosteus aculeatus aculeatus (three-spined stickleback) is the source of this 887-nucleotide non-coding RNA. The record is from RefSeq and is a predicted model, not a curated record. NCBI's taxonomy places the organism in Eukaryota, Metazoa, Chordata, Actinopteri, Perciformes, Gasterosteidae.
AGCAAUUAGGGGUUAGGUGUCUUGCUCAGGGACACUUCGACUUGAGACAUGGGGCAGCCGGGACUCGCUCCACCCCCUGCGCCACGACGACCCCAGCUCGCUAAAUAAACAAAACGUAUUUCCUUUGCAAUUACUUUUGAGGCUUUUUCCUGUGUUUCCUUUACUUACCUCUCCUCUUCUGUUUUGGUCAUGAACUGCUGUUUGCUUUCCAAAAGGUGGUGCUGUGCUUUUAGUUACAUAACAACAAAUGAUAUUACAUUUGAAUAUACUGUAAUUCCCAAACGUAUUCCUCAACGUGAACAACAAUAGCUAAGAGUCGCUCAAGGUUAUUGGGCAUCAAUCAGCAAACAAUUACUCAUGUAAUAAUUAUUAAAAUUAAUGAAAUGUAAUAGAAGGAUGGUUUAUAAUUAAGCGUGUAACCUUACACUUCUACCCUUAAACUCUAAUUCACCCAGGAAGGGUACUGAUUAUUCAUGCCAUCAACACAUCACGCACCAGUCAGCUUCUCUGGAAAUGUGGCACCUCUGGUCAGGGUGUUGGAUUACAACAUGACGGCAUCAACACAACAUGACGGCAUCAACACAGCAAAUGAAUAAGACUGUCACACUGAGGCUGUAACGAAGGAAAUAAACCCUCCUGAUGUGACAUGGAAGCAUCAUUCAAAAUACAACCUUUGGAUGCCGGGAAAUAAUCCUCAGGCAGUUUGGACUAAAAUACGAUGUAAUAAUUCCGUAACCAGUGAUGGAAAAAUGAAGUUCUAUAUUACACUUUAUGCUGUAGUAGAAAUAUUGUGCCUUUUUCUCCAUUUAUUUGACAGCUAAAGGUACUUUUGGGGAUUUGGUUACUAAAACAACUUGUAAUAAUAAACAUUCUUAACUAUCAAACCA